GACGAACGCUGGCGGCGUGCUUAACACAUGCAAGUCGAACGGAAAGGCCCUGCUUUUGUGGGGUGCUCGAGUGGCGAACGGGUGAGUAACACGUGAGUAACCUGCCCUUGACUUUGGGAUACCUUCAGGAAACGGGGGCUAAUACCGGAUAGGAGCUCCGGCGGCAUGGGGGGGGUGGAAAAGUUUCGGCGGUUGGGGAUGGACUCGCGGCUUAUCAGCUUGUUGGUGGGGUAGUGGCUUACCAAGGCUUUGACGGGUAGCCGGCCUGAGAGGGUGACCGGCCACAUUGGGACUGAGAUACGGCCCAGACUCCUACGGGAGGCAGCAGUGGGGAAUAUUGCACAAUGGGCGGAAGCCUGAUGCAGCAACGCCGCGUGCGGGAUGACGGCCUUCGGGUUGUAAACCGCUUUCGCCUGUGACGAAGCGUGAGUGACGGUAAUGGGUAAAGAAGCACCGGCUAACUACGUG
RNAcentral lists this ribosomal RNA (468 nucleotides) under uncultured bacterium. RNAcentral describes it as "partial 16S ribosomal RNA". It matches the Rfam family "Bacterial small subunit ribosomal RNA", at positions 28 to 507 of the family's 1533-position model. The record is from RNAcentral.